AGUGAACGCUGGCGGUAGGCCUAACACAUGCCAGUCGAACGGCAGCACAGUAAUAGCUUGCUCUUACGGGUGGCGAGUGGCGGACGGGUGAGGAAUACAUCGGAAUCUACUUUUUCGUGGGGGAUAACGUAGGGAAACUUACGCUAAUACCGCAUACGACCUACGGGUGAAAGCAUGGGAUCUUCGGACCUUGCGCGAUUGAAUGAGCCGAGGUCGGAUUAGCUAGUUGGCGGGGUAAAGGCCCACCAAGGCGACGAUCCGUAGCUGGUCUGAGAGGAUGAUCAGCCACACUGGAACUGAGACACGGUCCAGACUCCUACGGGAGGCAGCAGUGGGGAAUAUUGGACAAUGGGCGCAAGCCUGAUCCAGCCAUACCGCGUGGGUGAAGAAGGCCUUCGGGUUGUAAAGCCCUUUUGUUGGGAAAGAAAAGCAGCAGGUUAAUACCCCGCUGUUCUGACGGUACCCAAAGAAUAAGCACCGGCUAACUUCGUG
This 492-nucleotide ribosomal RNA is filed under the name uncultured bacterium. Its description in RNAcentral is "partial 16S ribosomal RNA". It matches the Rfam family "Bacterial small subunit ribosomal RNA", at positions 29 to 507 of the family's 1533-position model. The record is from RNAcentral.